Arabis alpina (gray rockcress) is the source of this 107-nucleotide small nucleolar RNA. It matches the Rfam family "Plant small nucleolar RNA R71". From Rfam's summary of the family: R71 is a member of the C/D box family of snoRNAs containing the C (UGAUGA) and D (CUGA) box motifs. Lineage: Eukaryota; Viridiplantae; Streptophyta; Magnoliopsida; Brassicales; Brassicaceae. The record is from Rfam.
AUACCAUGGUGAGGACAAGCUCUUUUGUACCCUUUCAUACGCUCCCAUGCAUCAUAUAAACUCUCUUCUUCACCUUGCUCGAAUCUAGCGAUAUCAUUCCUUAUUUU